RNAcentral lists this long non-coding RNA (358 nucleotides) under Junco hyemalis (dark-eyed junco). Its description in RNAcentral is "lncRNA (ENSJHYG00000012895.1)". Lineage: Eukaryota; Metazoa; Chordata; Aves; Passeriformes; Passerellidae. The record is from RNAcentral.
ACAAGAGGCCAGAGGUGGGGACUCUUUCUGUCUUGGCUACUCCUCAUCAGUGCUUUGAGCUGAACAAAGCCCUGAGAACCAAGGAAACACGAGUGCACCACCAGGGAUUUGCUCCUCUCUACAUCUGAAGCACAGCACAAAGUUCCGCCCUUUGCUUCUGCAGUUGCAGGGAGUGAGGGCAGAGGUGAGAUCAGGACCCAGUUCAUUGUGCAGCUCACGGGGCUGCAGGACCCUGUGGAGGAAACAGAUUAUCUGUUCUCUGAGGAUAGUGGAAACUGAGUAUGAUGAGCUCAUCUGGAGAAAAUGUAGGUUGGGUGUGACAGAGAAACUUGUGUUUUAUACCUCAGUGACAUCUUAA